RNAcentral lists this ribosomal RNA (253 nucleotides) under uncultured bacterium. RNAcentral's name for it is "partial 16S ribosomal RNA". It matches the Rfam family "Bacterial small subunit ribosomal RNA", at positions 524 to 776 of the family's 1533-position model. The record is from RNAcentral.
UACGUAGGGGGCAAGCGUUGUCCGGAAUCAUUGGGCGUAAAGCGCGUGUAGGCGGCCCGGUAAGUCCGCUGUGAAAGUCGGGGGCUCAACCCUCGAAUGCCGGUGGAUACUGUCGGGCUCGAGUCCGGAAGAGGCGAGUGGAAUUCCUGGUGUAGCGGUGAAAUGCGCAGAUAUCAGGAGGAACACCAAUGGCGAAGGCAGUGUUCUGGGCCAGUACUGACGCUGAGGAGCGAAAGCGUGGGGAGCAAACAGG